GACGAACGCUGGCGGCGUGCCUAAUACAUGCAAGUCGACAGCGGCGGACGGGUGAGUAUCACGUAAGGAACCUACCGAUAAGCGGGGGACAACAUCCGGAAACGGGUGCUAAUACCGCAUACUUAUCGAUGGCUUUGCGGUGCAUUAGCUCGUUGGUGGGGUAACGGCCUACCAAGGCCAUGAUGCAUCGCCGACCUGAGAGGGUAAUCGGCAACAUUGGGACUGAGACACGGCCCAGACUCCUACGUGAGGCAGCAGGAGGGAAUCUUCGGCAAUGGACGAAAGUCUGACCGAGCAACGCCGCGUGAGUGAAGAAGGUUUUCGGAUCGUAAAACUCUGUUAUUAGAGAAGCGGUAUCUAAGAAGAAAGCCACGGCUAACUACGUGCCAGCAGCCGCGGUAAUAC
This 405-nucleotide ribosomal RNA is filed under the name uncultured bacterium. RNAcentral describes it as "partial 16S ribosomal RNA". It matches the Rfam family "Bacterial small subunit ribosomal RNA", at positions 28 to 526 of the family's 1533-position model. The record is from RNAcentral.